This is a long non-coding RNA of Urocitellus parryii (Arctic ground squirrel), 717 nucleotides long. RefSeq lists it as uncharacterized. NCBI's taxonomy places the organism in Eukaryota, Metazoa, Chordata, Mammalia, Rodentia, Sciuridae. The record is from RefSeq and is a predicted model, not a curated record.
CUGGGAUUACAGUAUGCACCACCACGCCCGGCUGCCCUAAAGCCUCCUGUACAAUGCCAAAUGGAGCCUCUGAGGAGCCCACAGCCUCCUGCUGCUCCCCACAUUCUGAGCUGGGCAGAGGCUGAUGUGGGCCRGCACCGUGUCACCGCUCUGCAGGCUGUCACACAGGUGCUUCAGGCCGGCCCCUGCCCCACACCUCUUGCUUGACUCUAAGAGUUGGGUUUCUCCCAGGGAAGACACGGCAAGAGUUCAGCCAUUUGGAGCUUAGGACCUGCCUGGGUCCAAAUCCCCAGCUUCCAAUUACCUGCUGGGCACAUGGCUCCCCUUCUUGGUGCCUCGGUUUCCUCAUCUGUAACUGGAGGAUACAGAUAGGCACUGGAAGUCUGAGAGAAGAAUGGAGUCUCUGAGACAGGUAGAACGUAGACUAGGACCUGGGCCAGAAGAGGUGCCCAGUGCUUCUGAAUCCGGAAGCCACAGCGUAGCCUGCAAGCCCUCGUGAGCUGCCCCCAUCCCAUCUCCUCCCACGACUUCCUUUCCCUCUUCCUCCCUCCCACCAGCCACAUGCCUCCUUGAUUCCCUUCUUUGUUUCCCCUUAGAUACUGGGAUUGAACCUGGGGGCUGUACCACUGAGCUACACCCCCACCCCCAGCCCUUUUUAUUUUUUUAUUUUAACACAGGGACUCGCUCUCACUAUUUUGCUCAGUCUGGCCUUGAACA